Molecule: ribosomal RNA, 503 nt
Filed under: uncultured bacterium
Lineage: Bacteria
Description: bacterial SSU rRNA
Rfam family: Bacterial small subunit ribosomal RNA
Source: RNAcentral
AACGAACGCUGGCGGCGUGCCUAACACAUGCAAGUCGUGCGAGAAAGUUCCUUCGGGAGCGAGUAAAGCGGCGCACGGGUGAGUAACACGUAGGUAACCUGCCCCCCAGUCUGGAACAACUAGAGGAAACUCUAGCUAAUGCCGGAUGAGACCACGAUCCCUUCGGGGGUUGCGGCCAAAGAUGGCCUCUACUUGUAAGCUAUCGCUGAGGGAUGGGCCUGCGGGCCAUUAGCUUGUUGGUGGGGUAACGGCUCACCAAGGCUGUGAUGGCUAGCUGGUCUGAGAGGAUGACCAGCCACACUGGGACUGAGACACGGCCCAGACUCCUACGGGAGGCAGCAGUGGGGAAUAUUGCGCAAUGGGCGAAAGCCUGACGCAGCGACGCCGCGUGGGUGAUGAAGGCCUUCGGGUCGUAAAGCCCUGUCGCAGGGGAAGAAUAAGCAUCGGUAUAAUACGCCGGUGCCCUGACGGUACCCUGCAAGAAAGCACCGGCUAACUCCGUG